RNAcentral lists this ribosomal RNA (603 nucleotides) under Ophiostoma villosum. RNAcentral's name for it is "eukaryotic LSU rRNA". It matches the Rfam family "Eukaryotic large subunit ribosomal RNA", at positions 1 to 626 of the family's 3401-position model. The record is from RNAcentral. Lineage: Eukaryota; Fungi; Ascomycota; Sordariomycetes; Ophiostomatales; Ophiostomataceae.
UUGACCUCGGAUCAGGUAGGAUUACCCGCUGAACUUAAGCAUAUCAAUAAGCGGAGGAAAAGAAACCAACAGGGAUUGCCCCAGUAACGGCGAGUGAAGCGGCAACAGCUCAAAUUUGAAAUCUGGCCUUCGGGUCCGAGUUGUAAUUUGGAGAGGAUGCUUUUGGCGCGGCGCCGUCCGAGUUCCUUGGAACAGGACGCCAUAGAGGGUGAGAGCCCCGUACGGGCGGCCGCCUAGCCUUUGUAAAGCUCCUUCGACGAGUCGAGUAGUUUGGGAAUGCUGCUCAAAAUGGGAGGUAAAUUUCUUCUAAAGCUAAAUACCGGCCAGAGACCGAUAGCGCACAAGUAGAGUGAUCGAAAGAUGAAAAGCACUUUGAAAAGAGGGUUAAACAGUACGUGAAAUUGUUGAAAGGGAAGCGCCUGUGACCAGACUUGCGACCCGUGGAUCAUCCGGUGUUCUUCACCGGUGCACUCCGCGGGCUGCAGGCCAGCAUCGGUUUUUCUAGGGGGAUAAAGGUCGCAGGAACGUAGCUCUUUCGGGAGUGUUAUAGCCUGUGGCGUCAUGCCUCUGGGGAGACCGAGGACCGCGCUUCGGCAAGGAUGC